This 4297-nucleotide long non-coding RNA is filed under the name Mytilus galloprovincialis (Mediterranean mussel). Lineage: Eukaryota; Metazoa; Mollusca; Bivalvia; Mytilida; Mytilidae. The record is from RNAcentral.
GUUUUGGAAAUGGCAUUUAAAAAUCCUUCGUGAAAUGUUAAUCGAAUAAAAUAUUAAAGUUGAAUUCUUACCCAUCUUGUCUUUAGUGUCCUAGAUUGAAGAUAUCCUACAUUGUCCUAGCUGCAUCUCAUAUAUCUUCCAUAAAAUUUGCGUUUUUCUAGCUUCACGAAUCAUGAUGUCAAUAUCAGUGUCGUCUGUCUGAACGCUCGUUUCCGGGUGAACCGUACGGGCUAAUAUUAAACCAAAGGCGAAGCAUUAAAAAUUCCAUUUAAACGGCAUUAAAUGAUUGAAAUCCAUGCGUAGAUUUAUAAGUAAUAAAAACAAGUAAACAUGAUUAAUAAUUGUAUGUAACCGAUUGGACCUUAAAAAAAAUAUAUGAAUGUGGAUUCCGUAAUUUCCUCUGAGUCUCCAUGCCAGUGUAAUGGUAUUUCCCGCGGUUAUUUUUGUACAACUUAUAAAUAAAAUACGGUAUGACUAUCACUUGCCACUAUGUACCUAACAGAAUGAACAAUUUUGCAAAGACUCACUCAGUGUAAGUAUAUCGAUACGGUGAAUUAAUUAACAUGAAAAAACUCUGUAAUUUCUAAAUAAUUUUACUGGACACAAAACACACGGGCACCUGGUAAUUCGUCACCUUAUUAAAGUCAAAUCGGCACCUUUUUUCACGACAUUUCUGCAAUUGAUUUUUUAACUGUCACCUGAUAUUAAAAACGGUUUUCAUCUUUAAUUUGAAAGUAAUUAUUGGUUCUCUUCUCUGCUGCAGUAUUAUAGAUGAGGAUAAAAAGAAGAGAAAACAAUUAAAUUUUAUCAUUGAUUUUUUUUUUGAUAAUCUGCCUUUCCUGAUUUUCCUGAUCUUUUCAGUGGCGGAUCCAUAACUUUUUCUAGGGGGGGGCGCGACUGACCUAACGGGGGGCUGCUCAGUCAUGCUCCAAUGAUUCCCUAUAUAAUCAACCAAAUUUUUCCCACAAAAGGGGGGGGCAGCCCCCCCCCCUGGAUCCGCCUAUGCUUUUACCUGUAUACUUGAAAACAAUAAAUACUAUUGUUUGCUAGUAUUGUGCAGUUGUCAUGAAAUAAAAGUUCAUUAUAAUAAUAAAUAUAGGUUCCAGUAGGAACAUGCAGAUCUAUUGUGGCUCCAUUGAUUGUUUAUACAGAGAGCACACAAGAUCAUGUAAAUUUGGUUAAAUGUCCAAUGGUAGAUGGAGAAACAGCACUGUAUAUAUAAAUAGAGCACCUAGAUUCUACCUGUGAAAAAUAUGGUUCCUUUUUCAAAGGAGGUUUAAGGAUCAGUUCAAUUAUAUUAGAUAUUAAGAUAGUUUAUAAAACAAUUAUGCAUCGGUGGAUCCAGGUGGGACGGGCCCCCCCUUUCGUGGGAAAAAUUUGGUUGAUUAUAUAGGGAAUCAUUGAAGCAUGACUGGAAGCGGCCCCCCUUAGGUCAGUCAGCGGGCCCCCCCUUAGGAAAAGUUCUGGAUCCGCCACUGUUAUGGGAGUCUUCAACAGUUCACUUGCAAAACAUAAUAUUAAUUUUGGGUAUGGACUUAACUACUGCGGGUUACCGAAUUAACAAGGGGCGGAUUUGACUUGUUAUGCCAUAUUAACUAUCAAAGGUGGCUUAGGUGCCCAUUUGACCAGGUUUCCAAACAUGGCAAAAUGACUAGAAUUCAGACACAGUGUUAAACAAAUUAAGAUAUAUACAUUUUUGUGUUGGAAUGCACACUACACUGGCAGCUUUAUUAACUAAGCUACAUUAGAUUGUAACUUGAGUUAUAUUCCUUGUGACUAAUUAUACAUGUGUUAAAAAAUAAUACAAUUUUGAAUAAUAAUAUUGAAAAUAAGGAGAUCAAUGUAGUAUGAUUGCCUAUGAGAUUACUAUCUCUACUAAUGUUUAUAUGAACUGGAUUUAAGCAUCUAUAUAGGACACCUUAAUACCUUUAACAAUGAACAAAGCUCAUACUGUCAGCUACAAAAAAUGUAUAACAGGCCAUCAAGGCUUGACAUGACAAAAUGUAAAAUGAUUUGCCAAAAUAAAUCAAAUAUGGCAGACUGCAUCAAACAACAACUAAAUUUCAUCCGGACUUGGAACAGGCAUAAAUAGAAUGUUGUGACUGUUGUGUAACAGCACAAAAGAGGAACAAAGUGGUGAAAUCGGUUAGAAAUUGUUUUGAUUCAUUGAAUUGGUACAAAGCUAAAAAAUUCUAACAUGAAGACAAACAAUCAAAACUUAAUAGUACUUUCAGUUAUUGAAAGCUCAUUAAAAGCUAAUAAAAACUCAAACAUUAUAUAUAAACCAUGUUUUCCCGUACACAUAUAUAUAUGUAUAGAUGUAAUUAUCAGAGAAAUUCGUUUUACAAUUUUUGUUUAACAUGUUUAAUUAUCUAUAACUGAUAUAUUUUUUUAUUAAAGUUUCCAAGCAAGUCAAUACAUGCAAUAACAAAAAACUUUUGGGACAGAAGACACUGUUUAAAAAACGUGACCAAAGAAAAGAAAAGGAAAUGUACUUGUAAUCGACACUGGAGAAAAAAUGGACUCUUCAGGUAAGAAGUUUUAUUCUGCAAUAACUUUUGUUUAAUUGUUAAUCUGUUUUUGAAUAAAAGAAUGUGUAAAGUAUAUUUUAGUGGGACAGCAUCCCAACAAACAAUAAAUCUGAAGAGAUAUCAAGUGGUAAAUAUUUUGCUUACUGAAAGUUAAUACCAAAUGUGCCAUGCUAUAAAUUAUCCUUCAUCUGAAGAAGGUAUGAAUAUAUGCAACAGGAAUUUUACAGAAAAAAUCUGUCCUUUAUUAUGUCUAUAUGCUAGCCGCAAAUUUUUCACUGCAUUUGCAUAUCUAGUUAGGUUAGUACUUUUUCAUCUUUUUAAAAUUUUGUCUUGCAAAACAACACAUUGCAGGGAUAAAGUAAAUGCAACAAGUUUUCAUUUUAUCCAGUUUUUUUCAUGUUUGCACAUUCUCUUUCCCAUACAAUGUUUUGGUGAAGUUAAAUAAUAGUAGUUUGUACACAUGUUGCCACUUGGAAAUAUAAAUGAUAUGGAAAAUAGCAUUGUGAGCUCUCUCAAGCCUAUGUGAGUUGUAGGAUUUUAGAAAUUUUCAUCAUUUGUUCAUAAGUAGGAGGCCACUGACUGCCUAAGAGGGCGCCCGCUCCGGUCAUGCUUCAGUGAUUCCCUAUAUAAUCAACCAAAUUUUUACCUGGCCCCACUCUAAAUCCACCUUUGCUAAGACCAGUUAAAUAAUCAGCUUUGGUCAAUUAUGCAUUGAAAUUCUGUUAAAAAGGAAGGUGUUUGACUUUUUCUAGUUUAAAAAUUAAGUGCUAAGAAACUAUUUUUACAGGAAUUAAUAGUUCCCCUUUAAAAUGGAAAGUAUAAUGAAAAUUGCAUUGUCAAUCUCAAUCCUAUUGUUCAACUUCAUGUUUGUUUUUAUAAUUUUUUUUAUCAAAUUCAAAGGUUAGUUUGGCAAGCCAAAGUCAUGGAUGAGUUCAAUAAAUGUUGCAGAUUAGCUUUUUUUGCAGGAGUUAAGCUGCUUUAGAAAACUGCAUUUGUUACUUAUUUCAAGUAUAAUAACUUGUUGAUUUUGCGCAUUUUUUUUCAUAAGAAUGUUCAGUAUAUAUUUGCCUUUCGUGAACUUUUAACUUUCAGUUACAUUCAGUUCUUGUGAAAUUCAACAUCUCUUAUAUAAACAUCACAAAUGUCUUUUUACUUAAUCACCUUUUUUAUGUUUACAGAAGAAAUUGUCACACGGAAAUGUAAUGGGCAAAUUAAAAAGGAGAAGUAACUCUGCUAGGAAGCAGUUCCAGUCAUUUGUAGCAACAGGACUGUGACGAAUAGAACUUUAAUAUAAACUGAAUCAAAAUAUAGAAUUUACCAAACUUGUGUCAGAUAAUACUCUCAUGCUUCUAUUGGAGGACAUCAAUGAUGAGAAGUAAAGGAAAAGACAAUAAAUGACAGCAUAUCAAAUAUCACAAUGUAUAUUUAGUCAGUUAACACAUUAAUUCAUCUACAUACAUUACAGCAUUUCAUUUUAACCAUGUGUAAAUUUUGUCUAUUCAAGCUUAACAAAAUGCUUUGAAAUUAAAAUAUUAAAUAUUUUAGGCAGACAUGUUUUUGUAAUUUUCAUUUAUUUUUCAAACUUUCAAGUUAUUACAUUCUUCAGUGGCGGAUCCAGCCAAAAGCCCAUUUUUCAAAGGGGUUUCCCAACCAAGGAUAAAGGAGGGGUUCCAAUCAUGUCUUUCAUUUAUAAAUUGUUAAUUUCCACUACAAAACUAAAAAAAAAUAAGCCAAAGAUAAAAAAUCAGUCAUAAAAAAAAUAUAAU